Molecule: long non-coding RNA, 99 nt
Organism: Ipomoea nil (Japanese morning glory)
Lineage: Eukaryota; Viridiplantae; Streptophyta; Magnoliopsida; Solanales; Convolvulaceae
Exons: 3
Source: RefSeq, a predicted model, not a curated record
GCCAUUCUGACUAUUCACAAAUUUACAAGAUACUCACAAUAUCUUGUUCAGAUGCACCACUUGGGUUCAUGUUCUCUAUCUGUUGAAUGCAUCCUCUUA